GAUGAACGCUGACAGAAUGCUUAACACAUGCAAGUCAACUUGAAUUUGGGUUUUUAACUUAGGUUUGGGUGGCGGACGGGUGAGUAACGCGUAAAGAACUUGCCUCACAGCUAGGGACAACAUUUGGAAACGAAUGCUAAUACCUAAUAUUAUGAUAAUAGGGCAUCCUAUAAUUAUGAAAGCUAUAAGCGCUGUGAGAGAGCUUUGCGUCCCAUUAGCUAGUUGGAGAGGUAACGGCUCACCAAGGCGAUGAUGGGUAGCCGGCCUGGGAGGGUGAUCGGCCACAAGGGGACUGAGACACGGCCCUUACUCCUACGGGAGGCAGCAGUGGGGAAUAUUGGACAAUGGACCGAGAGUCUGAUCCAGCAAUUCUGUGUGCACGAUGAAGUUUUUCGGAAUGUAAAGUGCUUUCAGUUGGGAAGAAACAAAUGACGGUACCAACAGAAGAAGUGACGGCUAAAUACGUG
Molecule: ribosomal RNA, 467 nt
Filed under: uncultured bacterium
Lineage: Bacteria
Description: partial 16S ribosomal RNA
Rfam family: Bacterial small subunit ribosomal RNA
Source: RNAcentral